GCCGCCGUAUACCCCACCGGCACCGGCGCAUCACAUCCACCUCUAAUCUCCCGCUACCCUGAAGAAGGGGGGAAAGGGAUGACAGAUGAAUAGCGAUGGCGAGGAGGAGGGUAUCCGCAGGAGCUGCGUCCACACCUAUUCACCAAAUCGGUAUCCAGGGCAGAACAACCAAGGCACUGCACGGCUGCAGCGUUGUAAUUAAAUCAUCGACAUCAGUGGUGGGGCCUUAUGCUUGGGUACGCAGCGGAGGAGGGAGAAAUAAAUUAUCUGUACUGACCAUCGUUGAAUUAUCAAGCUAGAAUUCAGAAUUUCAGAAGCCAAAGAGGAAACAGAACAUGCCGAACCUUAGGCGGACAGAACGAAGCGGCAGAACACCUUGACUGUGUAUGUUUGUCGCCGACCGGCUGCUCAGAACACAACAGGAAACAAAAAAUGGCACGGUACUGGAGUACAUCCAUCCGGGCGUGCUGUCAAACUGAACAUAAGGUAAGAGAAAAGGUGACAAGCAUAUCAUGGACAACCACAACUUGGAGGAGGAAGCCAAAGAAAGUGUUAGCAAGAGAAGAAAGAAUGCAGAACACACAGGUUCAACUGUGGCUCAAGCACCUCACAAUGAUGGACAUCAAUGGAGGAAGUAUGGUCAGAAAUGGAUCUCUAGAGCAAAACAUUCCAGGAGCUACUACAGGUGUGCCAAUAGUAAAGUGCAAGGCUGUCCUGCAACAAAGACAGUGCAACAAAUGGAUUCCAGUGGAAAUGGAACAUCAAAGUUGUUCAACGUUGACUACUAUGGCCAACACACAUGCAGGGGAGAUGGCAUAGCCAAUCCAUAUGUUGUCGACACAGCCCAUCACAGUAUGGAACCUAUCAAUCAAAACGAAUGCAAUAGCCCUACACUUGAACACGAAGCCCAUGAAGUUCAAGAUGAAAGAUUUGAAAACUUGUGUAUGGUACAAAAUAUGCCAGAGUAUUUGAUAGAUUUUGAAUUGGAGAGAGCCUUCGAGUUUAUUGUGAACUCACCAUUGGGUUCUGAGCAUUGGACGUUCGAUGAUUCAAUAAGAUGUGAGCACAGUCCAAUAUGCAUAUGGGGAUGAUGACUUGAUGUUAGCUAUAAGCUAGCUAGGAGUUUCUUUCAGGAUGUGCUGUAAUGAUAAGUUGUGACCUGGUAAAAAUACAUAGCAUUUUGCUCAUGACUAAGAAGUAAACCUGAAAUUAAGAAGCAUGUGUAUAAGCUAUUAUUAUACUAUUAUAAAAAUUGAAGAUGUUUCCGCGGUC
RNA transcript from Oryza sativa Japonica Group (Japanese rice), 1272 nucleotides. It is a transcript of the gene named probable WRKY transcription factor 46, with no coding region annotated. The record is from RefSeq and is a predicted model, not a curated record. Lineage: Eukaryota; Viridiplantae; Streptophyta; Magnoliopsida; Poales; Poaceae.